UGUGUGAUUAUCCGGAAGUAUUUCCCGAGGAUCUUCCUGGAUUACCACCUGAUAGACAAGUGGAGUUCAGAAUAGACUUGUUACCAGGAACCACGCCAAUAGCAAAAGCACCUUAUCGAUUAGCACCGACGGAGAUGAAGGAGCUAAUGAUGCAACUUCAGGAGUUAUUGGACAAAGGUUUCAUUAGACCUAGUUCAUCGCCCUGGGGAGCUCCGGUGUUAUUUGUAAAGAAGAAAGAUGGAAGUAUGAGAAUGUGCAUCGAUUACAGAGAGCUGAACAAGGCAACAAUAAAGAAUAGAUAUCCGUUGCCGAGGAUUGAUGACCUGUUUGAUCAAUUGCAAGGUUCGAGCUAUUUCUCGAAGAUCGAUCUUAGGUCAGGAUAUCAUCAGCUGAAAGUAAGAGAGCAAGAUAUCGAGAAGACUGCAUUCAGAACUAGAUAUGGACACUACGAGUUCUUGGUUAUGUCGUUUGGACUAACCAAUGCUCCAGCAGCGUUCAUGGAUUUGAUGAAUAGGGUUUGUAAUCCUUUCCUUGAUAAAUCCGUGAUAGUGUUCAUAGACGACAUUCUGAUCUACUCGAAAAGCCAGGAGGAGCAUGGCAGACACUUGCGAGAAGUGUUAGAAGUUUUGAAGAAGGAGAAGCUUUAUGCGAAGUUCUCCAAAUGUGAUUUUUGGAUUCGUGAAGUCCAAUUCUUGGGUCACGUGGUCAACCAAGAAGGGAUAAUGGUUGAUCCAGCGAAGAUCGAAGCUGUGACGAAGUGGGAACAACCGAAAAGUCCCACGGAGAUUCGAAGCUUUUUAGGAUUAGCCGGAUAUUACCGAAGGUUUAUCCAAGGCUUUUCUUCGAUUGCUACUCCAUUAACAGCUUUGACCCACAAAGGAGCUACUUAUGCUUGGAGUGAGAAGCAUAAAGAAGCAUUCGAGAAGUUAAAGAAGAAGCUAUGCGAGGCACCGAUACUUUCUCUACCCGAUGGAGUUGAAGACUUCGCUGUUUAUAGCGAUGCGUCUGGUGUUGGAUUGGGUUGUGUUUUGACCCAAAGAGAAAAGGUGAUAGCAUAUGCGUCUCGACAGCUGAAAGAGCAUGAAAAGAAUUACCCGACUCAUGAUUUGGAGUUGGCAGCGGUAGUUUUCGCUCUGAAAAUAUGGAGGCAUUACCUCUAUGGCACGAAGUGCAAACUUUUCACUGAUCAUAAGAGUCUCCAAUACCUCUUUAAUCAGAAAGAAUUGAAUAUGAGGCAACGACGCUGGCUAGAAUUACUUAAAGACUACGACUGCGAGAUACUUUACCACCCCGGUAAAGCUAAUGUUGUUGCUGAUGCUCUCAGUCGGAAGGUCAAUCUUGAAAGGAAGAGGCCAAGAGCGUUGAGAAUUGAAGUUGUCUCGACCAUUGUGGAAAGUAUAAAGAAAGCUCAAGAGGAAGCUUCUGAGAAAAAUGACCGAAAGGAGGAACGUUUGGGUAAAACGUUGGUGUUUGGUACUAACGGUCAUGGACUGAAGGUAUUCCAAGAUCGUAUUUGGGUACCUAAGUCAGGAGGAAUUAGAGAUCUUCUGAUGGAAGAAGCUCACAAGACCAUGUACUCGAUUCAUCCGGGUAGCACUAAAAUGUAUAGGGACCUGAAACCCUACUACUGGUGGCCGACGAUGAAGCUUGAUGUUGCAAAGUAUGUGGCCGAGUGUGUGACUUGUGCGAGAGUCAAGACACAACAUCAGAAACCGUACGGGAGUUUAGAACCUUUGCCUGUGCCUAUGGGUAAGUGGGAAGACAUUGCUAUGGAUUUUGUCACUAAACUGCCCAGAACAAAGAAUGGUCACGACAUGAUUUGGGUGGUCGUUGAUCGAUUCACUAAGAGUGCGCAUUUCAUAGCGGCCAGGGAGAAAUGGUCUAUGGAAAAGCUUGCGAAUUCUUACGUGAAGGAAAUUGUGAGGCUUCACGGUGUUCCGUUAACGAUUGUAUCGGAUCGUGAUAGCCGUUUCACCUCAAGGUUUUGGAAAAGUCUACAAGAGGAAAUGGGUACCAAGUUAUGUUUAAGCACAGCUUACCAUCCGCAGACUGAUGGUCAGAGUGAAAGAACAAUACAAACACUUGAAGAUAUGCUGAGAGCAUGUACCUUGGAAUUCCUAGGUAAUUGGGAUGAACAUUUACCGUUGGUAGAAUUUUCCUAUAAUAAUAGUUUUCACUCGAGCAUUAAGAUGGCACCUUAUCAAGCUUUGUAUGGACAGAAGUGUCGUACGCCGUCUUGUUGGCUUGAGGCUGGGGAAAAGCAGUUUAUGGGACCGGAGUUGGUUCAUCAAACUGCUGAAAAGUUGAAAAUAAUUAGGGAAAGAAUGUUAGCAGCUCAAGAUCGUCAAAAGAGCUAUGCUGACAAGAAGCGAAGACCGAUGACUUUUGAGGUUGGAGAUUCGGUUUUGCUUAAAGUCUCGCCGUGGAAGGGACUUAUAAGAUUUGGUAAAAGGGGAAAGUUGAGUCCAAGGUUUAUUGGACCGUUUAGAGUCCUUCAGAGGAUUGGGAAUCAAGCUUACAAGCUCGAAUUACCCGAAGAACUGAAUGGAAUUCACAACACCUUUCAUGUGUGUUAUUUGAGGAAGUUCACGGGAGAAGUUCCCGAUAUAAUUCCAAUUUCUGAAUUGAGAAUUGAUGAGAACAAAAGGUUGAUUGAAGAACCAGAGGCAAUUGUUGACCGAAAGACUAAGAAGUUGCGACGCAAAAUGGUUGGGUUAGUGCUUGUCCGAUGGAAACACACGAAUGGGCCGAAUCUCACCUGGGAGACGGAGAGUGACAUGUUGAGUCGCUAUCCGCAUUUGUUUGUUGAUGUGUGAUUCCGGGGACGGAAUCAUUCUAAGGUGGAGAGAAUUGUAACGCCUGUGUUUCGGGCUUGCCAUUUGUAGCAAUGUAAUAGUCUAGGUUAACCUCUGUAACCCGUUUUGAAAUAAUAAGAUUGUAUUAUUUGAGUAUUGUGUGUUUUGUGCUUAAUUGCUUAAUUAUGUGGUUUGAUUAAUUAAGAAUAAAAAUAAGCGUCAAAAUUUAAGUGUAAAAUAAACUUAAUAUAUUUGGUUAAUGUUGUAGUAGUUGAAACGAGGUUUCCGAAUAUAUAUAGAACGCCCAAAUCUGACUUCGUAUGAGGAAGUUAUGAUUUAUCGAAGUUCCGGCUUAGCGAUAUACAGCCUGUUUUACUCGAUUUGAGAUCGAGCGGUUGUUAGCCGAAGCAAUCUAAAUGAGAAUCGAAGAUCUCAUUGUUGGUAUUGAAACGAUAAAAAGUUAGGCGAGAACGGACGUCAAACGAAGAAGUUAUGAAUUUAUAACGAAAGUUUCUGUCCCGGCCUAUUAAAAAUAAUUAAUAAAAAUAAAGUCAAAAUUAGCCGACGGAGUCUAAACGAAAGUCGUAGAGCGUGGUCUCACCUUCGCGUGGAUAUAAAGAACGUCGAAAACGGAGUUCGUAUGAAGAAGUUAUGAAUUUCCGAAGUUUAUUAAUCAUUUUGUAUUUAUAUUUAAAUCAAAAUUCGGAAGCAUUAUCCGAAGGAGUCACCGAUCUGAUCCGAGGUACGCCCCGCGUACUCGAGUACGCCCCGCGUACUCCGAGGGAUGUCGACACUCGCACUCGAGCACUUCGGAUACGUAAGCAAUGACGUUUUGGGCAGUACGCCCCGCGUAACGCAGUACGCCCCGCGUACUCCGAGGCUCCAGCCUCCUAUAAAUAGGAUGCGAGGGUUCCGGGUAUUUUUGCCAAUUCCCUCUCGUUUUCGUGUCGAAGCUCUGUGCAAAAACCCCCGAAGCUACCCCGAAGUCCCGGUAUCAUACUCUAGCCCCGAGGCAAGUCCCGAGAUCCCGAAGAUCCCGAAAAGUGCGGUUCCCGAGUCGAAGCUCUGCCCGCGAGAAGUUCGAUUUUCGAGAAGAUCUUCCAGAUCUGCUGUGGAUUACUACUUCUAUAAGCCGUAGUGCUGUCCGAUCAUCUUCUGAUCAAGUGAGUGUGUAGUUAUUUCUUCUAAUACAAUAAUACGAAGUAUUUUAUAUAAAAAUACGUGCUAUGUGUAUAUAUUUGGUUGUGUUAUGUGUGAAUGAGUAUUCACUCUCUUCUAUCUUAUAGAUCUGCUUAUUUCUUUAUGAGAUAUGUGUUAUGUGUGUGUGUGCCUCAUCUGUUAUGUGAUAUAUGUGUUGAUUAAAGCAUGCUAUACAGGUUUUCUUUAAACUAUGUAUACAAAUGUAUAUUUUUAUCUACUAAUAUGUUGGGUAGAACAUGGGUAGACAGUUGGUGUGUAAUAAACAGAUGAGAGGCCUCGUUGUUGUUUGAUUGAGUCAUCUAGCGGAGUUUAGAUGACGACCACUGGCUAUUCUAGACAGUCUUGUGGAAACAUUAGCAGGUUCGCCACCUGUAGGUGUUAAUGAACUUGGGUGUUCAUUCGCUGUACUCCAUCCCCCUCAUGGUUGCCUUAUUUGACUUAUAUUGCUGAGGUACCCCCGAAGCAUGUGUUGUCGCCCCGAUGAAAUAUUCUUAGACUAGGUCCCUUAUGUUAGUUGUUUUAGGGACAUUAAAGUGAGAAUAACGGGAAUGGGUAAUUGGGUUAUUGUUGGUUGGUGAAAAUUAAAUAUGAUAUUUAUUGUGGGUUGAAAACCCUAUAUGCUCACCAGGCUCCCAAGCCUGACCCACUCAGUUUUAAAUUGUAUUACAGGUAGUGGCGGAAGGGCAUGAGAUGGAUGAACCAUCAAGUUGUUUUGUUUACAAGUCUGCAUAUGUUUAUAUUUGUUAUAUGACUUGUAAUGUAUUCGUUUAUGCUUAUUGGUCUGUAUCGGAACAUGACACCCCGAGUUUUGAUUAUAAUGAAAAUACAUUUCUUUUAUGAAAUGCUUCGGUAAACAAUGUUUUAUCAUGUUUUGUUUUUGGGAACAAAUUCCGCAACUCUUUCAAAUCAAAAGGAUUUACUCUGAAAAUAUUUAAAAGCAUAAAUGAAAAUCGGUCUUUUCUGGCCGAGAUUUUGGGGAUGUCACAGAAAUUAAGGUUUCAUCACACAACCUCAACUCAUCAUCGAGUCCAUCCCUCCAACUCGACGAGUAGGCUUCCUAAUGCACACAUCCUGAUCAACUCAAACACGACGAGUUGGCGCCAACCAACUCGUCGAGUAGGCCCUUCAACUUGCACUAAAUCCUCAAGUUCCACAUCCAGGAAUCGGGGUGUUACAAUUCUCCCCCACUUCAAUUAGAUUUCACCCUCGAAAUCACUCUUUAUCAACACAUCAAGAAAAAAUAACCCACGAAGCACCACCGAGAAAAUCUCAUACCAUACAACGAUCUCUUUCCCAAGACAUCCAAAACUGAAAGUAACUCCCAACACAAAAAGGACGACCCCCUACCGUUGCAGUAUCAACUCCGACUCUCUAGAGCUCGUAACUUGUAGUGGUAUAUUUCCCUGAAAGACCGCCCAUGCAGAAUAUCACCAUAACAAUCCAUCAUCAAAUCUAGGAACGAUAAACAAUCUUACCUCUUCAUGAUUUAUGAGGACAAAUCUUUGACCAUAAUUAGAUGUUGAUUACUCAUGUCAGACAUACUAGUCGGUCCAGAUCGUAACUCAAAAAGAAUGGAGGGGUCACAUAUCACCAAGGACGAACCAUCGGUACUGUUAUCAGAACCAAUUUGAAGAAUGAAUCUCAAUACUCUGCUCUCAGACACUAGAAGAAUGACCAUGCCCAGUCGGAACUAUCCUCUGAUCUCUACAAUCGUAAGCCCCAGCUUCCUCUCAAUGUUCCUCCCAACACCGAGUACCAAGUCAGCUCCCGACCCAAGAUUUGAACCUCUAAGGCUACCCUAACACAUCCGGCAAUACGACUUCACAGUCAUUAUGUCCAACCAAGCAGUCUCAACCAAUCACACUGGUCUCACAGUCACCAAGUUCGAUUUGCCCUAAGCGAUUACUACAACCGAAUUGAAGUCGAACCUCACCUCCGAUCUCUGUUGUCUUCUACUUGCGACUUCAUGUGUGUCGUGUUUAUCCUCAAACUAAUGAACCAAUCCACCCAGGUCUAAGACAUCAUAUAGGAAACAUCCCCACUCAUAAAGAAAUCCAUCCGCAAACUCCGAAAUCCCAACCUGCCCGUCCUCCAUACAGAUAGAGCCUAAACCUUGUUGGGAUUUAAGUAUAUACCACUCAUAUGGUGCACAUACAACCCUAAUGCCUUGGAUCUAAUUUUUCUAUAGUUAUACAUGAAACAAAAAUUAUCCAAAGCAUGAAACCUAUCUAUCAUACAAAUUUGGUACAUGAAUCUUAAAACUAGUUAGAAGAAUACCUUGUAUUUGUCAAUUCUAGUUGUUGGCCUUUGAAGAGCUUAGCACCUCAUGUGUGAUGCCUCAAACAAGUCACAAACACCACGAACAAAUGGAGAAUGAUGAGAGAGGUUAUGGAGCACACAAAAUCGUCCAUCUCUUAGAAUAAACUACCUUUGGUCCGAUUUUUGGCUUUAGUGGGUUACAUAUAUACUGUAGAAUUCCAAGAGUUAUAUCUGACCCUAGUUCUUACACUUAGGAUUAUGAUCCAUAACUUAUUUAGACUAAUAAUUUAUGGACUUUCACAUAAGCUUAGCCCAUUACAGAUUAAUCAUGGAUCAUUAGCCCGAACCAUAUGUCUCACUGAUUUACAUAUUCAGUCCCUCUUAAUUUAAUUAGUCUCUUUUGAUCACUAAAUUAAUUCCAAAUUAAUUAUGGAUCAAUACUAAUUAAAUAAUAUGAUUUCUCAAUUAAUAUAUUAUACUUAUAAUAUAUUAAUAAAUCACAAAUAACCUCUUUUUCAAAUAUCCAUCCUGUCAAAUUGUUCUGGUGAAGGCAACCUGAAAUGGACAAUGCUACUCUCGGGUCAAGUACAUACUAUAGUUAUGGGCUUAGACACCUAAUCCAACAGUCUCCCACUUGGAUAAUUCUAAUAACUAUAAUUGUAGGUACGACUUCAAAACCCGACUACCAAUCGUAGUUCUCAAAAGCCGUUGGCAAACUCUAACCUAGUCAAUGACACGUCUAUUAGAUAAGGGAUCAUAUAUUACUCCAUUCUACAAGAUAUCGUAUGAACUGAGACAUGGAUUAAAAUCAUUCUCUUUGUUCAUGUGUUGUUUCCCACUUUCCUUUUUUCGAUGACCGACUAAUUGAACAAAUCAAAUCAGUCCAGGCUUGGCCAAGCACUUAGGGUUGUCAUCGCUAAAUCAUCGAGGGGCCCACAAAUAUCGCUUUUAUCCCUCUUAGGGUAAAAGGAACGGAUAAACCUCGAAUCAUAUUCUUGCUCUAUUAACUCAUCAAAUAACACACAUCAAUAUGUUUUAUAACACCAAGUUACAAGUGCAUUUUCAUAUCAUCAAUGUACAAUUGACUUGUAAACUGCAACUCAUAUCUCUCUGUUUCAAGAAUAUAAGAUAUUAUCGUCUCACAAUCACUCGUGAUAAAAUCCAUGAAGUGAUUCAGAUGAGUGUGGGUUUAAUCCAAUACUCAAAUCUUAUUACAGGAGUAGUCAUGAAUACUACACCAAACUUGUGUUAUGUCUAACACUUAGACAAUUUACAGUCGGAUUCAUGACAGUCUUACCUCAUUACUUACUUCCAAAGUAUGAUUGAAUGCUGAUGUUUGAAUAACCUAGUUAUUUAGAAAGUAAAACAUGCGAAGUGAAACACAAGAAUAAUCGAAUCAAAUAUGGUCUCAAAACUUUUGAUUGUAAAUAAAACACCUUAUAUGUAAUCACCAUAUCGAUUACACAUUAUUCAUUGUAUAAUGUUCUGACUGAUCAACUUAAUACUUGAAUUAAAACAAUAGUCAUCCCAUGCUCCAACAUGCACACUAUGUUUACCUAUGAUACUUACUUUGUGAAAUAGAUCAAUUGUAAACAUUUCCAAUGACACUCAUUUCAGAAUUCCAAAUCCUUAUCGUAAGUGUGAGAAUACCAAGUCCUUGCCACUUACUGUAAUUUGUUAGAUUCUAAGCUUAUAUGCAGUGAUCCUUUUGUAAUGACUAUGUACACAAGUCACAGAGACUUUUCCAAUUACAAAACCUUCCAUUGGAGAUUGUUACAAGACAAUUCUAUAGAUACAAAUUCUCAUAUUCAAGGAACAUUCCUUUGAACAUCCUUCUUGCAUAAAAGUUUCUAACUUACUCAUAGAUUUUUGAUAUCCAACUCCCAUUACGGAAACUUUUCCAUAAUUGACAUAUGACUAUCUAUUCUUAAUAGAUCCCUAUCUAUUCAGAAUUAUAUCAAUACGGUCCAUUCAUUACUAUACUUCCAACUAUCCAUAACUAAAAAACCCUUGGUAAACCUCAGAUUGUCCUUGACGGUUGUUUAAUAACUUUAGUCAUAUCUGGUUGUAGACCUUUUUCCCUCUUAAUGCCCUAGACAUUUAGAAAUUAGAAAACGAGAAUAUUAUAGCAUAUGCAAUCGAUCCUAUACCCGAAGCAUAUGGGAUACGAUUCAUAAUGUCUUACAUAAAGACAUGAUACUCGAUCAGUCUUUUGCUAUAACAUUUCCAUGUAUAGAAUUUCCAAUGUUGAAAUAUUUCAACAUGGUAUUCAUAUAUCUACGACUAAGUUUAAUUAAUACUUCAAUCUAAACUUUUAGAUUCGAAAUAAAGUAUAAUUAUCCUCUCCUUUAUUAUAGUGAAACAACUUUUCAAACUUUGCAACUUUGGAAAUUUGUAAUCUUUGUUUCCUAUAACUAGUAUUGCUAACUUGUAAACAUCACAUAAUAAUAAUCAUGCUCCCACUAUCACGAUAAUUAUAUUCUUACUAGCAUAACACUUAUGCUCCCACUAGCUUUGACAUGUACUCAGAAAUUAGCUGGACUUCUAGAAAUCAAUACUUAUUGACUUUCUUACCAAAGUUUAGAGUUCUGAUAUGAGAUGCUUCGAUAAGCCUUUAUCUAAGCUCAUACACCUUUUAUUAGAAAGCUCAUAUGUGUGACUAAACUAUUCAGAACUUAUAACAAUAAGUUCUGAAUGUUCAAACUAUUUGCCAUUUCUCACAAUUCAAAUUAUGAAGAGGGAUGUUGUAAUCAUAAUCGAAUUUCAUAAUGCAAUUAACACAACUUCUAUCUCCUUGGUUCCUCACAAUCAUUUUCAUGAAUUGGAUAGAAACCUUAUGCCACUUAGAUUUUAUGGUGUAUGUGUUACUAUCCAUGUGAAACUGUCAUUUGCAACCAUUGUUAUUAGAUAAGGUCUAUGGCAGAUUCAAACUCAUAUGGACUGAACUUGUUCAAUCUUAAUUUUCUGCCACUUGGCAGCACAAUGGCCUACCAUGUCUUCCAAUUUGUUAUGAAACUCACCCUUAUUGAUUAGUGAACUUUCACUGAUCAAGGUGAUUUUCCUUAUAAAAACUAUUGAGAACUCAUAAAAAUCACAUGCAUAGUCAACUUUAACUGGAAUGAGAACAUAAACAAGAAUAUGCCAACACGAUAGGUUACAAACCACAAGUCAUGUGCUAGCGAUAAACGAUAGGUUUAAUCUUGAUUAGUUCUUGAAACUUUUCAAGAUCUUUAAGACUCCCACUAACCUCUUGACAUAUAAGAUUCUCUGUCAAGAAAACACUCCUUGACAACCAAAUAUUCAAGAGUUAGUGCAGAUUCUUAUCAAGGAAAACACUUCAUUUAAUUUGGUCUUAGUUGGUCUUUGUUUUAUCCAAUACAUCACAACUACCAAUUCCAAACAUGCAUGAGUAAGAAAACUUUUCUAAUCCACAUUUCAUGAUGUGUUACAAACCUUCUUAGGACAUGUCACUCAAGACACAAUCUUGGAGUAUGACUCUAAGACUUGAUUUUGAAACAGAGUAUGAUUCACCUUUUUUUUAUUUAACCAUUUCAACAAUUCCCGAUUCCUCUUCUUAGCCAUACAAGUGCACUAAGGUGUCCUUAUAGGAUCAAUUAUGAUACGGUUCCAUAAUCAUUAAGGUGAUCAUAAAUCAUGAUACUAAAGUACUCUCCUUUCCUUUCAGAUUAGAGAAGUGCUUUUAUCUUUCCUCCUAAUUGAUUCUUCUUCUUCGUUCUGCUAUACAUUGAAACUUUUUCAAUGAUUCAUAAUUAUACUUAAUCUUGUAAGCAUAAUCAUAUUCGCUAAGCUUUUAGUAAAUCAUGAUGAAUAAUCUUAUCGUUCUUUGUGGUGGACCUGAUCCAAUACACAACCAAGUGUACCUGAUCCCCUAGUCCUUCACUUAACUUACAUAUACAUGUGAACAAGGAAUUAGUCUUAAUUUCCCAAAGAUAAAGGUUCUCAUUUAUCAUACAAUACAAGUUGCAUGAUUCCAAGUUUCUGUCCAAUUGAAUCUUUGGUGAUGAGAAUCUUUCCUUAUUUGGUAAAUUUAGACACUACCACAAACGAAAGAAUCAAAUCCAUAUUGCUAAAAAUAAAAACAUACAAACAUCAAUUUUCACAAAUGUCAUUACAAGGAACCAUAAAUAAGAUAAAAAUCAAUUUUUUUUCUUUAUUUAUAAAAUGCGGAAAACUUGUCCUUACAAUGAAAUAUUGAACUCUAAGACUUGAUUUGAUGAUUAGAGUUUGGAGCUGCUUAGGAGUUAUGAUAAAUUUAUGAACCCAAGAGUUGCAUCUUUUGAAACCUUUCAAUUACUAGAUGUUUUAGAAUUCAAUAUUUCAAAUUAAAACUUUUUAAUUAAACAUUUCAAAUUCCAAACACAUGAGGGUAAGUUUUGAAACUCUUCAGAACCUUUUGUAUUCCAAAACAUGAUGACAAGUUUUGUAACGAUCCAAGACUCUUAAAUUCCAUAACUUAAGGAGUUAAUUUGUUUCAAGAAUAGAGACUUUUUAGGUUCCAUAACUUGAGGACAAGUUAUAAAACUAUUCAAGAAACAUUUAGAUCAAACUUUAAGUUAAUAAAACAAUCAUAUCAUUUUAUCUAUUACUAAAUUGAUCUAAUUCAAAUCUCUCAGCAAGAUGAUCCAAAUUUUACAAAUAAUUAGUUUUCACAAAAUCAAGUAAUUAUCUUAAAAUUUGGCAAUAAUCAUGUUAUUGGAUGGCGGUAAUCAUUACCAUACCAACAAAAUCAAAUUUUAUGAACCAAAACAUUUUAUGGUAAUGAUCCUAAUCCAAAACAGGCCAAAACUUGAAAAUUCUGCCAACAGAUAAUCCAACUCGUCGAGUCUGAUAAUGGACUCAUCGAGUUCAUCACUUAUGAACAUGGACUCGUCGAGAUCAUGUAUGGACUCAUCAAGUUCAUGUAUGUACUCAUCGAGUCCAGCAGUCAGAAGGCAGUUUCUCAGGUUUUUCAACUUUGAACAAUUAGACAAUGCAACUAUAUAAAACAGAAAACUACUCAUGGCUCUGAUACCACUGUUGGGUUGUAAGUACUCUAACAUUCCUAUGGUUCACAUACAACCCUAAUUCCUUGGAUCUAAGUUUUCUCUAGUUAUACAUGCAACAAAAAUUAUCCAAAGCAUGAAACCUAUCUAGCAUACAAAUUUGGUACACGAAUCAUAAAACUAGUUAGAAGAAUACCUCUUAUUUAUAGCUUGUAGUUGUUGGCCUUUCAAGAGCUUAGCACCUCAAGUGUGAUGCCUCAAACAAGUCACAAACACCAUAAACAAAUGGAGAAUGAUGAGAGAGGUUAUGGAGCACACAAAAUCAUCCAUCUCUUAGAAUAAACCACCUUUCGUUUGAUUUUUGGCUUUAGUGGGUUACAUAUACAGUGUAGAAUUCGAAGAGUUAUAUGUAACCCUAAUACUUACACUUAAGCUUAUCAUCCAUAAAUUAUUUGGACUAAUUAGUUAUGGAAUUUCACAUAAGCAUAGCCUAUUACAAAUUAAUAAUGGAUCAUUAGCCCAAACCAUAUGUCUCACUGAUUUACAUAAUCAGUCGCCGUUAAUUUAAUUAGUCUCUUUUGAUCACUAAAUUAAUUCCAAAUUAAUUCUUGAUCAAUACUAAUUAAAUAAUAUGAUUUCUCAGUUAAUAUAUUAUACUUAUAAUAUAUUAAGAAAUCACAAAUAACCUCUUUCUCAAAUAUCCAUCCUGUCAACUUAUUCUGGUGAAGGCAACCCGAAAUGGACCAUGCUACUCUCGGGUCAAGUACAUACCAAUUAUAGUUAUGGGCUUUGACACCUAAUCCAACAAAAUCAACACAAGAGUCUAGCCCAACAAAGAAUUGGAACCAUUCGUAUCCAAUGUGUUACUCAACUCAUGACCUGAGAUCCGCGAUUCCACACGUACAUUAUCCUUUCGAUUUGCGACAAUCUCUCCCUCCAACGAGAUAAUACAGUUUCCGACCAUCAUAGAGACCUCAGUCUCGCCCCUGGUCUGGCCACCAUGCUCCCUCACACUCAUUUGGCAAUGCUACCCGGGCCUAAGAACCCUCUGCGUCACACCCUGACUAGUAAAGGCUACGACUCCCUGUAGUUUUACAACACUCUCUCACUGACUAAUAAGUGCUACGUCUCCCCACAUUCUUAUGACACUCUCUCACUACCUCGUGAAUGCUACGGCUCCCUGUAGUCUUACAAUACUCUCUCUCUCUCUCUCUCUCUCUCUCUCAUUGACUUAUGAAUGCUACGGAUCUCCAUAGUCUUAUGGUACUCUCUCUCUCUCUGACUCAUGUAUGCUACGGCUCCCCACAGUCAUACGAUGCUCUCUCUCUUACUCAUCUAUGCUAUGGCUCCCCGAAGUCAUACAAUGCUCUCUCUCUAACUCAUGUAUGCUACGGCUCCCCAUAGUCAUACGAUACUCUCUCACUCGCCAUGGGCUCACCCCAAGGGUAUUUCCCUAACGGUCCUAAGUGAUUACUCCCACCCAGAUGCGCUCACUCUCUUAUCACCCUACAAUCUCAUCAUCAAGUCGUCACCAACCUGAGUUCACUAUCACAUGACAUGCGGUCCAAAAUAGUUAGGUGCACACAUCUACUCAGAUUAUGCAUCACUACUCUUGACGAAAGUUCUCAUACACAAGGCACUUUCCUCAGUACAGUCACACCUUUGGACAAUUCCCUUUUGGCGACAAUUAGUUGAUUGUCUCACAUCUAGAAAUAUAGUCGCUUAAUGUUCCAAUUCCCGUUUGAUAAACCCAAGUCUCAUAGAAAUUUUCACCUAGGGCAUCAUACUCGGAUACCUCGAUACACCAUUAGAGAAUCUCACGACAGCGUGUCACGACCACUGAUCUUCCGCUCACACAACUCAAAACCUUGAAGUACUCCCACUCAUAAUUUGAAACACGGAGGAAUCAUUAAUGAUUGAUAACGCAUUGACGACAAUCCAAAACCCCAUCAUCAACUUAUCAAAACCCAAGCGAAACUACUCAUACCGACUCUGAAGUUGAUUUACAAGACAACUGCUGCUCUUACCGAAGUACAAAUAACAAUCUAUACGUCAAAAUAUCAGUCUCCCCGCAACCGAAUCUUGACCUUGGCAACCCAACCACCUCAAUACUCAAACAUUAGCACACCAGAAGAAACACGGAUCGCAAUCAGAUUCCUGUCCUACGGCUACCUUCCUUGAAGACACUCAUUCUCUCCUGAGCAUAUGCGACAUGCAUCACCUCGCUCUGUAUGUUGACUUAACUACCACAUGGCCCCCAACCUCAUAUAUUUGGACCGUAGAUCCCCAUAACCCAACUUCUGUACCACACUAGACUGAGGAUCCUCCCCAUAGAAUACCUAAUUCUCCCCCACUUAGGGUUCGAACCAUCGUCCAUUGACAUACCAACCGACCACACUACAGACUAGUUCACCAGAUGUACCAUUACCGAAUCAUGGAAUGUACACAUAGCCCUCAAUGACCUCCCAGAUAAUGACCUAAUAACUCUAAGUAUCCCGAAUCUUAGAUGAAAAUCUCGGAAUCCUCCUAAUGUGAAUGCCUCUAGUCACCACAAAAUCUCAUACUGACUCUUCACCGGAAAUCUCGACUGUCAUGGAUUAGUUACAACUCUCAGUCCAGAAUAAUGAACUAUCACACACACAUCAUAUCUGAUUCCUCAACCAACAUUCCAUUGCAUGAAUUAUUAAAGAAGCACGAGACCUCACUCACAUAGUCGAUAUACAAUGUAAACAACGAGGGCCGCCACCCUAAUAUACUCCUCUUGACUACCUGGAACUGCUGCUAAAAUAUGCCCACUAUACUAAACUAAAGUAUACCCUUGUCAUCAUCCAUCUCAUUCCCCUCUGAUGACUCUCUCACGGUAUAAGAAAUACCUCGCAGCAAAAACACUAUUGCAACUAUAGGCUACCCCACGGGUUUUACUUCCAAACUAUGAAACCAGAAGCUCGUUAUCUCUUUCGCUCCAUACGGGAAGCGUAAAUAUUGUAUUUCUCGUCAUAGAAAGUGACAUUUCAACCAUUGGCUGAUCACUCAGUCCAUACCUCAAUCCUCCACAAAACAACAUUGUAACACCCGCGUUUCCAGGCUAGGCCUUUCGUUGAUGUAAUAGUCUAGGUUAACCCCUGUAACUCUUUUGAAGUAUUAAUGAUGAAAUAUUUGAGUAUUAUGUGAAUGAUGUGAAUUAUGUGUUUAUUUACUUAAUUAUUAUAAUUUAAUGAAUUAAGAAUAAAUUAAGCGUCAAAAUUAAAGUAUGAGAUAAGCCCGAUAUCUUUGCAUAAAGUUGUAGUGGCCGAAACGAGGUUUCCGAAUAUAUAUAUAUAGAAAGCCCAAAUCUGACAUCGUAUGAGGAAGUUAUGAAUUUCUGAAGUUUCGACUUAGCGGUAUGCAGCCCGAAAUACUCGAUUUGAGAUCGAGCGGUUUAUAGCCGAAACAAUCUAAACGAGAAUCAAAGAACUCGUUGUUAGUAGCGAAACGAUGAAAAGUUAGGCGAGAACGGACGUCGGACGAAGAAGUUAUGAAUUUAUAACGAAGUUUUCCUGUCUGGGCCUACAAAAAAUAAAUAAAAAAAAUAAAGUCAAAAUUAGCCGACGGAGUCCAAACGAAAGUUGUAGAGCGUAGUCUCACCUACGCGUGGAUAUAUAAAGAACGUCGAAAACGGAGUUCGUAUGACGAAGAUAUGAAUUUUCAAAGUUUAUUAAAUAAUUAAUAUUUCAAUUUAUUUAUUAUAUCCGAUAUUAUCCGAAGAGGAGUCACCGGACUUAUCCGAAGUACGCCCAGCGUACAGCGAAGCAUGACAUGCCUCGCACUCAAGUUCUUCGGAUGACGCACACAGUGACGAUUUCGGAGGCAUACACCCCGCGUAAGGCUGUACGCCCAGCGUAAUGCGAGGCCUCAGCUUCCUAUAAAUAGGAUGCAAGGGUUCCGGGCAUAUUUGCUCAAUUCUUCUCUUUUUCGUGCCGAAGCUCUGCGUGUAAACCCCCGAAGCCAUUCCGACACCCCAGAUCUCAUAUCCAAGUUAAGAAGGAAGUUUUACGCUCCCGAGAUCCCGAGAAGUGCGAUUGCCAAGCCGAAGCUCUGCCCGCGAGGAGUUCGCUUUUUGUGAAGAUCUUCCAGAUCUACCAAAGAAUACUACUUUUACAAGUCGUAGUGCUGUCUGAUCAUCUUCUGAUCAAGUGAGUGUGUAGUUACUUUCUUUUGACGCAUAAUUAUGAAGUAUUAUAUAUAAAAUACGUGUUAUGUGUAUAUUUUGUUGUUAUAUGUGUGAAUGUAUAUUCACUUUCUUCUAUCUCAUAGAUCUAAUUUAUUCUCUAUGAAAUACGUGUUAUGUGGGUGUGCCUCAUCUGUUAUGUGGAAUAUGUAUUGAAUGAGAAUGCUAUACAGGUUUUAAACUAUGUAUAAAAAUAUAUAUUUUUAUCUACUAAUAUGUUGGGUAGAACAUGGGUAGAUAGUUGACGUGUGAUAAACAGAUGAGAGGCCUCGAUGUUGUUGUUGUUGAUCUAGUUAUUCAGCGGAGUAUGGAUAACGACCACAGACUCUUCCUAGACAGUCUAAUGGAACGCUAGCAGGUUCAUAACCUGUAGGUGUUGUGAACGAUGUGUUCACCUGUGUACUCUAUCCCCCUCAUGGUUGCCUUUAGGNGAAAAUACAUUUCUUUUAUGAAAUGCUUUGGUAAACAUUGUUUUAUCAUGUUUUGUUUUUGGGAACAAAUUCCGCAACUCUUUCAAAUCAAAAGGAUUUACUCUGAAAUUAUUUUAAAAGCAUAAAUGAAAAUCGGUCUUUUCUGGCCGAGAUUUUGGGGAUGUCACAGUUGGUAUCAGAGCAUUAGUUUAAGAGAACUAGGAAUUUGUAGGAUUUCUAGACUUAAACUUAAAAUGCUUAGUGAAAUUUUGAGAUGUAUGUCUGUUAUGUUUUAAAAACGAGCACUAGUUUAUUUUAGGAAAGUUGCCUAAAAUGCUUUUAUGUGCUAAAUGUUAUAUGUUGCCAUAUAUGAUAUUAUUUGUUCGGAUCUAUGGUCUGUUGCCGACCGGAUCUGGAAACCUUACGUUUGUAGGAUUCUAAGCGUAUGUCGACGAAUUUAGAACUAGGAUGUAAACGUUUCGGAGUGAUAAGGAUGAUUUGAAUAUCUAUCGUGAUUGAGGAUCUAAUUUUCACCUUAUUUGGUGUGUAGAUCAAAAUGGUGAGAACAAGAAGUGGAGUUGGAAAUGCUGAUGAAAACAGGAAUCAACCACCAGUGAUUGAACAAAUACAUGUCGUAGCAGCAACACCUGAGCCAAUAACCAUGGCUGGUGUGCAUAUGAUGAUUCAAACAAUGUUGGAUCGUUAAAUGGAGGAGACUAUGUGGUUGCUUCAACAGAAUCGUGAAGAACUGUCAAUUCGUGUGGAAGAGCCCGAAUUAAAUGAAGGGCACUCGGAAGGUGGAAACUUCAGUGGGUCUGUUGGUCAAGGCAACCCACCGAUAGUUAGGCAGAACAACCAUGUGGAAGGAAUGAUGGAAUGGGAUGCAAGUAAAAGGACUUUCUAACUUGCAAACCAUCGACCUUCAAUGGAAAGGAGGAUCCGAUUGGAGUUAUGGAUUGGAUCUCAGAAAUGGAGUUAGCCUUCAUGACUUGUGGCUGCAGAGGAAAGUUGCAGACUAUCUAUGCAGUGCGUCAGUUCCGAGGUGGAGUCGUUUGAUAGUGGAACACUCUAGGAAAUACUUUAAGCCCUAAUGAGCCACUGCAGUAUUCAUGGGCAGAGUUCUUGGCGUAUUUCAAGCGCAAGUUCUGCUCGGCUCAAAAUCUGUUGGAGUUGGAGAAUAAGUUUUUGACAUUGAUGAAAGGCAGCGUGUCAGUUGAUGAAUACACUAAUAACUUUACGGACAAGAUGGAGUUUGCUUUGCGCAUCAUUCAAGAUGAGCUGACAAAGGUGGACCAGUAUGCGAAGGGACUCCCAUGGGAGUACGAGGUGCCGGUACGUCANUAGACGCAACUAUCUGGGCUGCCAAGUCUGUUGAGAACAUGAUUAAGGGGAGAACCACCAACAAGGUUGAGGUUGGUGAGAAGAGAAAGUUUGAGGGAACAUCUGGUUCCGGUAAGAAAAGAAAAUUUUCGAAAUCUGAUUCGAAAAAGUUUGGUGGAGGAAAAGGAAGCGAAGCGAAGUGGUGUGAUAAGUGUAAGAAAAAGCACUUUGGAAAAUGUAGUGAGGAUGUAACCUGCUACAAGUGCGGAAAAAUUGGGCAUUUUUCCAUUGAGUGUUCGAACAACAAAAGGAUGUGUUUUGGUUGUAAUGAAGAGGGCACAUUUUGAAAGACAGUCCGAAGAAGAAGGAGGCAGCUAAGCCCAACAUUCCACCAAAGCCGAAGGCGAGAGCCUUCCAGAUGACAUUUGAAGCUGCGAAAGAUGAAGCUGAUGUCGCUUCAGGUACCUUUCUCGUAAACAAAUUAUCUGCUCAAAUUUUGUUUGAUUCUGGAGCCAACUACUCCUUUAUUUCGCAUGAGUUUGGUAGAAAACUAGUUUUGCCUGUUGAUAGACUAGAUAAUGUUUUAUUAGUCGAAAUUUCUAGUGGCAAGUUUGUACUUGUUAGCCAUCGUAUGAAAAACAUCUUAAUCGACCUGAAUGGGAAUAAGUUUCACGAGGAAUUAUUUCCUAUCAAACUUAAUGGUUUCGACAUCAUUCUGGGAAUGGAUUGGCUUAGCGCCAAUGAUGCCGAAAUAUUGUGCAGAAAGAAGAUAGUUAAAGUAAACCCGCCUGGGAAAGAUUCGUUUAUGGUGUAUAGGGACAAACGUAGAGUAAAUUCUGGAAUCAUUUCUCUAAUGAAAGCCAGAAAGUGUUUAACCAAGGGAUGUACAUCAUAUUUAGCAUUUGUGAUCGAUGCUAAGAACGAAAAGAAGGUGAUGCAAAGUAUUCCAGUGGUGUGUGAUUAUCCAGAAGUAUUUCCCAAAGAUCUUCCUGGAUUAACGCCUGAUCGACAAGUGGAAUUCCGUAUUGACUUGUUACCAGGAACCACGCUAAUUGCAAAAGCACCUUAUCGAUUAGCACCGAUGGAGAUGAAGGAGCUGAUGAUGCAACUUCAGGAGUUAUUGGACAAAGGUUUCAUUAGACCUAGUUCAUCACCCUGGGGAGCUCCGGUGUUAUUCGUAAAGAAGAAAGAUGGAAGCAUGAGAAUGUGCAUUGAUUACAGAGAGCUGAAUAAGGCAACAAUAAAGAAUAGAUAUCCGUUGCCGAGGAUUGAUGACCUAUUCGAUCAACUACAAGGUUCAAGUUAUUUUUCAAAGAUCGACCUAAGGUCAGGAUAUCAUCAGCUGAAAGUAAGAGAGCAGGAUAUAGAGAAGACUGCAUUCAGAACACGAUAUGGACACUACGAGUUCUUGGUUAUGUCGUUUGGACUAACCAAUGCUCCGGCAGCAUUCAUGGAUUUAAUGAAUAGGGUUUGUAAUCCUUUCCUUGAUAAAUCCGUGAUAGUGUUCAUAGACGACAUUCUGAUUUACUCGAAAAGCCAGGAGGAGCAUGGCAGACACUUGCGAGAAGUGUUAGAAGUUUUGAAGAAGGAGAAGCUGUAUGCAAAGUUCUCCAAAUGUGAUUUUUGGAUUCGUGAAGUCCAAUUCUUGGGUCACGUGGUCAACCAAGAAGGGAUAAUGGUUGAUCCAACAAAGAUUGAAGCUGUAAUGAAGUGGGAACAACCAAAAAGUCCCACGGAGAUCCAAAGCUUUUUAGGAUUAGCCGGAUAUUACCGAAGGUUUAUCCAAGG
Molecule: long non-coding RNA, 18982 nt
Filed under: Lactuca sativa (garden lettuce)
Lineage: Eukaryota; Viridiplantae; Streptophyta; Magnoliopsida; Asterales; Asteraceae
Description: long non-coding RNA (LSAT_LNC004297)
Source: RNAcentral